RNAcentral lists this transfer RNA (88 nucleotides) under Pelolinea sp. RNAcentral's name for it is "tRNA-Ser". It matches the Rfam family "tRNA". From Rfam's summary of the family: Transfer RNA (tRNA) molecules are approximately 80 nucleotides in length. Their secondary structure includes four short double-helical elements and three loops (D, anti-codon, and T loops). The record is from RNAcentral. Lineage: Bacteria; Bacillati; Chloroflexota; Anaerolineae; Anaerolineales; Anaerolineaceae.
GAGAGGUGCCGGAGUGAACGAACGGGGCGGUCUCGAAAACCGCUGCAGCCUUUAUUGGUUGCCAAGGGUUCGAAUCCCUCCCUCUCCA